UCAUUUAGGGAGUAAAUAUCCUAAUAUUGGAAAAAUAUAGAGAAAAAAAUCAGUGUGGCCCUGCACAAAGAUGACAUGCCAGGUUAUGAAGCACUGCAAUGUUUU
Molecule: small nuclear RNA, 105 nt
Organism: Rattus norvegicus (Norway rat)
Lineage: Eukaryota; Metazoa; Chordata; Mammalia; Rodentia; Muridae
Source: Ensembl